RNAcentral lists this ribosomal RNA (427 nucleotides) under uncultured bacterium. Its description in RNAcentral is "partial 16S ribosomal RNA". It matches the Rfam family "Bacterial small subunit ribosomal RNA", at positions 354 to 796 of the family's 1533-position model. The record is from RNAcentral.
GUGGGGAAUCUUGCGCAAUGGGCGAAAGCCUGACGCAGCAACGCCGCGUGCGGGAUGACGGCCUUCGUGGUUGUAAACCGCUUUCAGCAGGGACGAAAUUGACGGUACCUGCAGAAGAAGCCCCGGCUAACUACGUGCCAGCAGCCGCGGUAAUACGUAGGGGGCAAGCGUUGUCCGGAAUCAUUGGGCGUAAAGAGCUCGUAGGCGGUUCAGUAAGUCGGGUGUGAAAGCGCCGAGCUCAACUCGGAGAGGCCACUCGAUACUGCUGUGACUAGAAUCCAGUAGGGGAGUGUGGAAUUCCUGGUGUAGCGGUGAAAUGCGCAGAUAUCAGGAGGAACACCAGCGGCGAAGGCGGCACUCUGGGCUGGUAUUGACGCUGAGGAGCGAAAGUGUGGGUAGCAAACAGGAUUAGAUACCCUGGUAGUCC